Molecule: ribosomal RNA, 253 nt
Filed under: uncultured bacterium
Lineage: Bacteria
Description: partial 16S ribosomal RNA
Rfam family: Bacterial small subunit ribosomal RNA
Source: RNAcentral
UACGAAGGGGGCUAGCGUUGUUCGGAAUUACUGGGCGUAAAGCGUGCGCAGGCGGCUUCUCAAGUCAGGGGUGAAAGCCCAGAGCUCAACUCUGGAAUUGCCUUUGAGACUGAGUGGCUUGAGUACGGGAGAGGUGAGUGGAAUUCCCAGUGUAGAGGUGAAAUGCGUAGAUAUCAGGAGGAACACCUGUGGUGUAGACAGCUUACUGGACCAUAACUGACGCUGAGGCACGAAAGCGUGGGUAGCAAACAGG